Picea glauca (white spruce) is the source of this 103-nucleotide non-coding RNA. Lineage: Eukaryota; Viridiplantae; Streptophyta; Pinopsida; Pinales; Pinaceae. The record is from Rfam.
GUCUCUUCGGAGACAUGAGAUAAAAUUGGAACGAUACAAAGAAUAUUAGCAUGGCCUCUGCCCCAGGAUGACAUGCGCAAAUUAAUAAAUGGUCCAAUUUUUU